Molecule: ribosomal RNA, 253 nt
Filed under: uncultured bacterium
Lineage: Bacteria
Description: partial 16S ribosomal RNA
Rfam family: Bacterial small subunit ribosomal RNA
Source: RNAcentral
UACGGAGGGUGCAAGCGUUAAUCGGAAUUACUGGGCGUAAAGCGCACGCAGGUGGCUGAGUCAGUCGAUUGUGAAAGCCCUGGGCUUAACCUGGGAAUUGCAGUCGAUACUACUCAGCUCGAGUAUGGGAGAGGGCAGUGGAAUUCCCGGUGUAGCGGUGAAAUGCGUAGAUAUCGGGAGGAACAUCAGUGGCGAAGGCGGCUGCCUGGCCCAAUACUGACACUCAGGUGCGAUAGCGUGGGGAGCAAACGGG